UUACACUCUCAGGCUAGUUCUAGACAGCCAGAGGUCAUAUUCUCACCUUUAUGUGUCCUGGAGGCAAAGGAUCCACUGUGACAUCUGCAAGGAAAAAAGGAAGAUGGCGCCAUCAGUCAGAGGCUACUUAAGCUCUCCCCAGCCUUCUGUGUUUCUGGUUUACCUUCUCAGACAGACUCUUCAGUUGAAAAGUGUGUUUUCUGUCUAUUUGAGCAUUAGAGCUACUGGCCCAUUCUCAUCAGUGUGCAGACUUUUUGAGUUGUUUUUCCAGCGGGAGGUGGGGGGAGGGGGUUGGGUUAAAUCAUCACAGUUUAUCUUGUCAUCUUUGGUGACGCACAUGUGGGAGAUGGCUGUGGCUGCAAAAAAACAAACAAACAAUGCCCCCCCCCAAGAAAUCCCCCAAUACAAACCAAAACUAAAAAAUAAAAACAAAAUUUGUCCUUUGAUUCCUAAGAAGUUGACUGGAACAGACUGUAAAAAGGCAGAAUGUAGAGUCCAGCCCCUGACUCAGAACGAUCUGACACCAGCAUUCCCGGCCUGCUCCCCACGAGGACGUCUCCGCGGACUUGCUGACUGCUUUGGAGUCUUUCCAUUCUGGAAACCCCAGAGUGGAAAAACCCCAGACUUUAGAGGUAAAACAAACCAGGGUUCCACCAGGAAGCCCGUAUGACCUCGUCCCUGGCACCUAACCACUCUGACUCCCACUGGUGACAAUGGUGGCAUCGGAAGGUUGAGGUAUGAGAUCCGUGUGGAAGCGCCUAGCAUAGCAUUGUGCUGGGCUCAUACUCAGGACUCAGCCAAUCUUACCUGCCCCCCCUUUCUCCUGUGCCAUCUCGUGUAUCUGCAAUCUGCGGAAAGCUGCCCACAGAAUGACCAAAUCUAUGAUCCUAAAUACUAAAAAUGAAAGUCUGGCUGGCCUUUAUAUUUAAAAUGUAGAUUUAGUUUAUUUUGAUUCUUCUGUUUUCAUUUCUCCAGUCUCCAGCGCUUGACCUCCACAUGCCUCAGAGGGUCCCUCAGGGAGAUGCUGCCCCAGAACGCUCCUCUUCUAGCACCCCAGAGGAUUUGCCUGGGAUCCCCCAUGAAGGAGGAAUAUGGGAGCCAGGCUCAUUCACAGAAGUGAAUCCCAAACACCACAGUGGCUCAUUCACACUCCUUAUCCCCUUGAUCUUCCCAGUGGAAGUGGGAUAAGUAUCCCCAUUUUGCAGAUGAGAAACUGAGGCUUAGGGAGUUUAAGUAAUUUGCUUCCGUCCCCCAUAUAGAACAGGUAGAACUGAGAUUUAAACAGGGGACACCCGACCCUACUGCACUUUUUGCAGUAUCCUAUCCGCUGCUCAGUGGGCUGGAAAACUGAGUGACUGAUAAUUGGGCUUUGGUUUAAAACAGCUGACCCCUGUUUUACCAUCAUGCUGGGAAAGUAAUUGUAACACUACCGGCUUGGCUUAAGAUCUGAAACAAUAGCUCAUCACUUAAGUAAAGGAUUUAUCUACUGUCAUGCAAAACCCAGGGCUGGGGGACUUCUUUGUUCGGCACACCGGGGAUACAGGCAUGCAUGAGCCAUGGCUGGUGCCCUCCUGGAGGUGCCAGUUUAGGAGGGGGAGACAGGCGGAGGAAGCCAGCUCAUCUAGGGUAGGAAUUUUGUGGAGAAAUGAACCCAGGGCUUGAGGAUGCCUCCUUUCCUGGAGAAUUCAGAGAAGCCUUCAUAAAAGGAGGGUUUGGACUGGGUCUUGAGUAUAUGAAGAGUGAAGCAGGGAGGGCAGGAAUGAGGUCAUUCCAGGAAUAGAGGAGAUGGUAAGGGGUGGUGUGCUCAGCACGUAGUGGAAAUAAUUCACUCGGCGGACACAUUUCUCCUGAGCAGGGCAACCCCCCCGCCCAACCUCCGUGCCCGAGUGAACAUUGGAAAUGGCUCCUUUAUGCUGGGAGGGACUGCUAAUUAGCUAGGGGGGCCUCUGCCAGCAACAGGUACUCGAGGACCCUUGCCUGCCUCUGCCAGCAACAGGUACUCGAGCACCCUUGCCUACCUUUGCCUCUGAUUCAUUCUGCACUGCCAGGUGCACUGUUUAUCCUCUCUGUGCUCAUUUCCCUACCAGAAGACUGUCUGUAAAGUGGGGUCUGGGCUUUGCGGCUGACCUUUCUGCUAAGUACUUUGGGGACCCAGGAUUUAAUGUCUGCAUUGGGUAAAAAGCAAAAUCUGGCAGCUCUCAAAAAAAAAAAAAAAAAAAAGUUGUAAAGGAACCAUUUUUGGUAUCCCUCAUCAAUUUGGGUUGUUUCCACCAUUUUUCUGUCUUAUGGGUACUCUAAUUCUACAGACCCAGAAUCCCACUGAAGCCACCUGCACUGGACCGUUCGUUAUUAACCACUAGCAUUUCCAGGGUGCCGUCUGUGUAACAUGCAAGGUCACACUCCAAAGUCUGGGCUAGGAAGCAACCACAGACAGCGGGCAGAGCUCGGUGAAGGUAGCAGAGGAGUGAAGCCUGCUGCCUCAGGUCUCCGAGUGACUUGUGCUUCAUUUGGGUCCCAGUGAAAGUGGAGCCCCAUGUCAGGCAAUCAAUACUUGUUGGAUUGUGGUUCGAUUAAAUGCACA
This is a long non-coding RNA of Mustela erminea (ermine), 2581 nucleotides long. RefSeq lists it as uncharacterized. The transcript is spliced from 3 exons. The record is from RefSeq and is a predicted model, not a curated record. NCBI's taxonomy places the organism in Eukaryota, Metazoa, Chordata, Mammalia, Carnivora, Mustelidae.